RNAcentral lists this long non-coding RNA (915 nucleotides) under Brassica napus (rape). RNAcentral describes it as "long non-coding RNA (BNAP_LNC012864)". Lineage: Eukaryota; Viridiplantae; Streptophyta; Magnoliopsida; Brassicales; Brassicaceae. The record is from RNAcentral.
GUAUCUUGGCUUUCUCUCUCCUCUGUUUUCUCUCUUCCAAACGUUUCACACAGAUGGAUGAUUGAGAAAGCCAAGCUAAAUGGUCUCUCUCUUUCUUUUCUCUAUCUUUGAGAGAGAGAGGUUUCGUCAAGCUGCCCGGAGCUUGACUCCCGAUGUUCGGGCUAUGCCUCUGGCAAGCGGUGGCUACCAAAGCACCGUCUUGGCCGGCUUCUGACUCCGGCAAGUGGGUGGUUCUCAUAACACAAUCUUGUCCGGCAACGACUCUGGCAAACGAUGGCUUCAACAGCACCGUUUGGCCGGCGACUUUAGUGAAUCAUCGUCAUCUCCGGUGAUUUCUCUAGUAUAGCUCGGGAUAUGUCCGAAUUAGUUUUUAGUUUUUAGUUCUUUCCUUUCGUUGAUCAUCGUUUUCCUUACUUUUCCAUGGAGUUUUGUUUGUAUUGAGUUUUUAAUGUUGGAUAGCUUCAUCCUCAUCCCCAUUUUAAUGGGUCGAUUCAUCUUCAUGCUUACACCUAUCUUCAAAGUUGGAUUUUGCUGAUUUGUUUGGAUCUGAGCUAUCUCUGUGUUUUUUCCCUUCGUGAUGCAAUUGAAACUCAUUCUCUUUAAAGCGAUGAUUGGUACUGGCUCAACCGUAUCUGGGUUUGUGGCCUUCGAAGCUUUCGUUUAUGGUUGUUUCCGUUAUCAAAGCUUCCGUGUCCGGCGACGAAAUCUUGAUCGGUAAUCCCACCCUUGCCUCGUGUCCCUUCACGCACCAGCGUCUUCACACGUGGCAUAGAGCUGUCGAACUUUUGGCGUUUCCCCGUUUGGGCCUCGUCUUGUCUGGGCUAUGUGUACCCCUUUGUAAAGGCCUACGUUUGAGGCUUUCAUUGUAAAUGUGUUUGUGCUCUCUUAGAGCUUUUCAUAAUAAUAAAGAGAUGA